This 903-nucleotide ribosomal RNA is filed under the name Escherichia coli. Its description in RNAcentral is "partial 23S ribosomal RNA". It matches the Rfam family "Bacterial large subunit ribosomal RNA", at positions 1 to 945 of the family's 2925-position model. The record is from RNAcentral. Lineage: Bacteria; Pseudomonadati; Pseudomonadota; Gammaproteobacteria; Enterobacterales; Enterobacteriaceae.
GGUUAAGCGACUAAGCGUACACGGUGGAUGCCCUGGCAGUCAGAGGCGAUGAAGGACGUGCUAAUCUGCGAUAAGCGUCGGUAAGGUGAUAUGAACCGUUAUAACCGGCGAUUUCCGAAUGGGGAAACCCAGUGUGAUUCGUCACACUAUCAUUAACUGAAUCCAUAGGUUAAUGAGGCGAACCGGGGGAACUGAAACAUCUAAGUACCCCGAGGAAAAGAAAUCAACCGAGAUUCCCCCAGUAGCGGCGAGCGAACGGGGAGCAGCCCAGAGCCUGAAUCAGUGUGUGUGUUAGUGGAAGCGUCUGGAAAGGCGUGCGAUACAGGGUGACAGCCCCGUACACAAAAAUGCACAUGCUGUGAGCUCGAUGAGUAGGGCGGGACACGUGGUAUCCUGUCUGAAUAUGGGGGGACCAUCCUCCAAGGCUAAAUACUCCUGACUGACCGAUAGUGAACCAGUACCGUGAGGGAAAGGCGAAAAGAACCCCGGCGAGGGGAGUGAAAAAGAACCUGAAACCGUGUACGUACAAGCAGUGGGAGCACGCUUAGGCGUGUGACUGCGUACCUUUUGUAUAAUGGGUCAGCGACUUAUAUUCUGUAGCAAGGUUAACCGAAUAGGGGAGCCGAAGGGAAACCGAGUCUUAACUGGGCGUUAAGUUGCAGGGUAUAGACCCGAAACCCGGUGAUCUAGCCAUGGGCAGGUUGAAGGUUGGGUAACACUAACUGGAGGACCGAACCGACUAAUGUUGAAAAAUUAGCGGAUGACUUGUGGCUGGGGGUGAAAGGCCAAUCAAACCGGGAGAUAGCUGGUUCUCCCCGAAAGCUAUUUAGGUAGCGCCUCGUGAAUUCAUCUCCGGGGGUAGAGCACUGUUUCGGCAAGGGGGUCAUCCCGACUUACCAACCC